Molecule: ribosomal RNA, 485 nt
Filed under: Tetrix tuerki
Lineage: Eukaryota; Metazoa; Arthropoda; Insecta; Orthoptera; Tetrigidae
Description: partial 16S ribosomal RNA
Source: RNAcentral
CUCUUUUAGAUUUUAUUGAAGGUCGUGCCUGCUCACUGAUAUAUUAAAGAGCCGCGGUAUUUUGACCGUGCAAAGGUAGCAUAAUCAUUAGUAUAUUAAUUUUAUACUGGAAUGAAAGGUUUGACGAGAAACAUGCUGUCUCUAUUAUAUUAAUAUAAUUUAACUUUCUAGUAAAAAGGCUGGAAUUAUUUUUUAGGACGAUAAGACCCUAUAGAGUUUGAUUUUAAAUAUUUUAUUAUUUUGGGUUAAAUUUUUAUUAAUUAAUUUUAUUAUAAAUUUUGUUGGGGUGAUGUGAAUAAUAAUUAAACUAUUCAUUUAUUUUAUCAUUGAUUUAUGUUUUUUAUGAUCCUUUAUUAUUGACAUAAAGAUAAAAUUACCUUAGGGAUAACAGCGCAAUUAUCUCUUAGAGUUCUUAUUGACGAGAUAGAUUGUGACCUCGAUGUUGGAUUAAGAUUAUUCUUUAGGUGGAGAUGCUUAAUUUUAUU